GUGAAUCAUCAAAUUUUUGAACGCAAAUUGCGCUUCCUGGCAUCCCGGGAAGUAUGCCUGUUUGAGGGUCAGUAUUAACAAAAAAUCGGUUUGGUUGCAAAUUGUGACGUUUCCGGAGUUUGGGCUAUCUUAACUUUUUUGGUUAAGGGGCUUAAAAUUGACCUUUUUUGGGAUUUUUUGGACGUAAUUAAUUUUUUUUUUAUUUUGUUUUUUUUUAUUGCAAAAUCCUUUUUAGUUCUA
RNAcentral lists this unclassified non-coding RNA (240 nucleotides) under Glomeraceae sp. RNAcentral describes it as "partial contains 5.8S ribosomal RNA and internal transcribed spacer 2". The stretch from base 1 to 71 matches the Rfam family "5.8S ribosomal RNA", at positions 84 to 154 of the family's 154-position model. Lineage: Eukaryota; Fungi; Glomeromycota; Glomeromycetes; Glomerales; Glomeraceae. The record is from RNAcentral.